AUCAGUGUCAGUUAAUUAUUAGUAAUCUGCCUUCGCAAUUGGUAUUCUAUGUAAUAUCUAUGCAUUUCACCGCUACACUACAUAUUCUAACUACUUCAUAAUAACUCAAGAUAACCAGUAUCAAAGGCAAUUUUACAGUUGAGCUGCAAACUUUCACCUCUGACUUAAUUAUCCACCUACGGACCCUUUAAACCCAAUGAUUCCGGAUAACGCUUGGAUCCUCCGUAUUACCGCGGCUGCUGGCACGGAGUUAGCCGAUCCUUAUUCUUACAGUACCGUCAGAGCUCUACACGUAGAGCGGUUUCUUCCUGUAUAAAAGCAGUUUACAACCCAUAGGGCAGUCUUCCUGCACGCGGCAUGGCUGGAUCAGAGUUGCCUCCAUUGUCCAAUAUUCCUCACUGCUGCCUCCCGUAGGAGUCUGGUCCGUGUCUCAGUACCAGUGUGGGGGAUCCCCCUCUCAGGGCCCCUAUCUAUCGUAGCCAUGGUGUGCCGUUACCACACCAUCUAGCUAAUAGAACGCAUACUCAUCUCUUACCGCCGAAGCUUUAAUUAUUAACUGAUGCCAGUUAAUAAUACCAUGGGAUAUUAAUCUUCAUUUCUAAAGGCUAUCCCCCUGUAAAAGGUAGAUUGUAUACGCGUUACGCACCCGUGCGCCACUCGUCAUCAAGAGCAAGCUCUCAUGUUACCGUCCGACUUGCAUGUGUUAAGCCUGCCGCUAGCGUUCAUCCUGAGCCAGGAUCAAACUCU
RNAcentral lists this ribosomal RNA (747 nucleotides) under uncultured bacterium. RNAcentral's name for it is "partial 16S ribosomal RNA". The record is from RNAcentral.